GAUGAACGCUGGCGGCGUGCCUAAUACAUGCAAGUCGAGCGAACAGACGAGGAGCUUGCUCCUCGGACGUUAGCGGCGGACGGGUGAGUAACGCGUGUAUAACCUACCUAUAAGACUGGGAUAACUUCGGGAAACCGGAUCUAAUACCGGAAAAUUUAUUGAACCGCAUGGUUCAAUAGUAAAAUACGAUUUUGCUGUCACUUGUAGAUGGAUCCUCGCAUCAUUAGCUAGUUGGUAAGGUAACUGCUUACCAAGGCAACGAUGCGUAGCCGACCGGAGAGGGUGAUCGGCCACACUGGACCUGAGACACGGUCCAGACUCCUACGGGAGGAAGCAGUAGGGAAUCUCCCGAAAUGGGCGAAGGCCUGACGGAGCAACGCCGCGUGAGUGAUGAAGGUCUUCGGAUGGUAAAACUCUGUUAUUAGGGAAGAACAAAUGUGUAAGUAACUAUGCACGUCUUGACGGUACCUAAUCAGAAAGCCACGGCUAACUACGUG
RNAcentral lists this ribosomal RNA (497 nucleotides) under uncultured bacterium. RNAcentral's name for it is "partial 16S ribosomal RNA". It matches the Rfam family "Bacterial small subunit ribosomal RNA", at positions 28 to 507 of the family's 1533-position model. The record is from RNAcentral.